Molecule: long non-coding RNA, 698 nt
Filed under: Equus asinus (donkey)
Lineage: Eukaryota; Metazoa; Chordata; Mammalia; Perissodactyla; Equidae
Description: lncRNA (ENSEASG00005029097.1)
Source: RNAcentral
GUGAGAAUCAAAAGAAAUAUAUUGCUGAAUUGACUAGAGUUGUUCCAGCCUUAACUGCUGUCCAAGGGAAAAGUGACAUUUCCCAUCUCCUGGUCCCCUUUGCUAGCCCCAUACUUUCACCCUAAUAUAUUCAUUCCGAAAAAAUCAGAGCUUGCUCAGCAAAAGGAAGAUGGAGUCCCUGUAUCUUUCAUCCCUGCCUUCCCCAUGAGAAGGGAACUGGCAUUUCCUGAGGACCUGCUCUGGGCCCGUGCUUUAUCUACACUGGACUUUCAUCUAAUGCCUAACCCUCCAAGGAGCCCACGAUUUUCUCCAAGGCUGAAGCAACCAAGGCUAGAGAGUGUCCAUCUCAUGGGUUUUGGCCCAGCUAUGAAGACCCUCUGGCAAAAGGAAAACAGCAUAGAUUGGCAAGCAAGUGACAGAAGUGGCCCGAGGCAAUCCUCCGCUUCAUCCUCUUGCCCCUGGAGGCAGAUCAGGCUAAACACAGAAGCAGGGCUUCAAAGGAGGGGCCUGGAUCCUCCCCACAGUGACUCACUGGGCUCCAGAGGAAGCCGGGGUCUCCCGGGAUCAGUAGUCGGCCUUGAGGUGGUUCUCUGGAAGCCCUCUCCCACGGCGAUGAGAGCAAAGAGAGGCCGUGUGGUCUCAGGGAGAGACCCCGCGUGUAGCACAGCCUCUAAUUCUCUGCGUGACCUCGGGCAAGC